CCUACGGGGUGCAGCAGUAGGGAAUCUUCCACAAUGGACGAAAGUCUGAUGGAGCAACGCCGCGUGAGUGAAGAAGGGUCUCGGCUCGUUAAGCUCUGUUGGUAGUGAAGAAAGAUAGAGGUAGUAACUUGCCUUUAUUUGACGGUAAUUAAUUAGAAAGUCACGGCUAAUUACGUGCCAGCAGCCGCGGUAAUACGUAGGUGGCAAGCGUUGUCCGGAUUUAUUGGGCGUAAAGCGAGUGCAGGCGGUUCAAUAAGUUUGAUGUGAAAGCCGUCGGCUCAACCGGAGAAUUGCAUCAGAAACUGUUGACCUUGAGUGCAGAAGGGGAGAGUGGAACUCCAUGUGUAGCGGUGGAAUGCGUAGAUAUAUGGAAGAACACCAGUGGCGAAGGCGGCUCUCUGGUCUGCGACUGACGCUGAGGCUCGAAAGCAUGGGUAGCGAACAGGAUUAGAUACCCUGGUAGUC
Molecule: ribosomal RNA, 465 nt
Filed under: uncultured bacterium
Lineage: Bacteria
Description: partial 16S ribosomal RNA
Rfam family: Bacterial small subunit ribosomal RNA
Source: RNAcentral